Molecule: ribosomal RNA, 899 nt
Filed under: Ophiostoma setosum
Lineage: Eukaryota; Fungi; Ascomycota; Sordariomycetes; Ophiostomatales; Ophiostomataceae
Description: LSU rRNA
Rfam family: Eukaryotic large subunit ribosomal RNA
Source: RNAcentral
CUAGCAUAUCAAUAAGCGGAGGAAAAGAAACCAACAGGGAUUGCCCCAGUAACGGCGAGUGAAGCGGCAACAGCUCAAAUUUGAAAUCUGGCCCUCGGGUCCGAGUUGUAAUUUGGAGAGGAUGCUUUUGGCGCGGCGCCGUCCGAGUUCCUUGGAACAGGACGCCAUAGAGGGUGAGAGCCCCGUACGGGCGGCCGCCUAGCCUUUGUAAAGCUCCUUCGACGAGUCGAGUAGUUUGGGAAUGCUGCUCAAAAUGGGAGGUAAAUUUCUUCUAAAGCUAAAUACCGGCCAGAGACCGAUAGCGCACAAGUAGAGUGAUCGAAAGAUGAAAAGCACUUUGAAAAGAGGGUUAAAAAGUACGUGAAAUUGUUGAAAGGGAAGCGCCUGUGACCAGACUUGCGGCCCGUGGAUCAUCCGGUGUUCUUCACCGGUGCACUCCGCGGGCUGCAGGCCAGCAUCGGUUUUCCUAGGGGGAUAAAGGUCGCGGGAACGUAGCUCCCUCGGGAGUGUUAUAGCCCGUGGCGUCAUGCCUCUGGGGGGACCGAGGACCGCGCUUCGGCAAGGAUGCUGGCGUAAUGGUCACCGGCGACCCGUCUUGAAACACGGACCAAGGAGUCAAGCAUUGGGGCGAGUGUCUGGGUGCCAAACCCGCACGCGAAAUGAAAGUAAACGCAGGUGAGAGCUUCGGCGCAUCACCGACCGAUCCUGAUGUCUUCGGAUGGAUUUGAGUAAGAGCCUUACCGCUUGGACCCGAAAGAUGGUGAACUAUGCCUGUAUAGGGUGAAGCCAGAGGAAACUCUGGUGGAGGCUCGCAGCGGUUCUGACGUGCAAAUCGAUCGUCAAAGUAUGGGCAUGGGGGCGAAAGACUAAUCUAACCAUCUAGUAGCUGGUUACCGCCA